CUGCACUUGGUGAUGCGCGACUUUUAUCACUUCGAGGUAAAUAGAAUUGCCGUCGUAGGCGAGAGCUGUAGAUAUCUUGAGAAUACCCGGGGGCGACAGGCGGGUUCUCAUCCAUUAUUACGAUCAAGGUUGCAAAGUGCCGGGGCGCAAACAAGAAGUAGCAACCUGGUAGUCCGCAACCGCAACCGAUGUACACUAGUGGUAGGGGCAUGAGUCUCUGUGCCAAAGCUAACGUGAUAAGUGUACCGCCUGGGGAAGUAUGCUCGCAAGGGUGAAUAUCACAAGGAACUGACGGGGGGCCGCACAAGCGGUCGAGCAUGUCGUUUCAAUCGAUGGUACGCGAGGGACAUUUCCCUGGUUUUCCCUCCAAGUGGAAUGGGAUACAGAUACAUCUCCGUACCAAUCCGUGGCUUGAAAGUGCUGCACCGCCGGUGUUAGCGCCCCCCCUGAAGUUCUUGGGUAAUUCCCCCAACGAGCGCAAC
Molecule: ribosomal RNA, 482 nt
Filed under: uncultured bacterium
Lineage: Bacteria
Description: bacterial SSU rRNA
Rfam family: Bacterial small subunit ribosomal RNA
Source: RNAcentral